RNAcentral lists this long non-coding RNA (561 nucleotides) under Pan troglodytes (chimpanzee). Its description in RNAcentral is "long non-coding RNA NONPTRT000994". Lineage: Eukaryota; Metazoa; Chordata; Mammalia; Primates; Hominidae. The record is from RNAcentral.
CUCAGUCUGGUGUCUCGGAUUUGUUCCUGUGUUGCCCACUCCUGCUGGAUCUUGUCCAGUCGAGGGACAAACGUCCUGAAGAAUGGGAAGAAAGGAGGUUCUGAAGGCACAGAUUCCAAUACAAUGCCAGAGGUUGAGGACACUGGUGCUUGAAGGGAAACUGGCACACUCUGGAGCCCCAAGAAGAGCUGGAGCUGGAGGCAUGCGGCCCACGAAGGGUAGAAGUACCAGCCAAGACCAAGAGCCCUUCACAUCAUCUGGCAAUCCAUCCAGAACCCACUGAAUGGAGGACAGUACAGCGAGGUCUUUCUCAUUUUGUAACUGCAAAAGCUGGAACAAGAGCCAGAGAAGCCAAAGAAGCAGUACAAGUCCAACAGCUUUUAGAAUAACCCUGAGAAAAUGGUUGAAUUUUGACCAGUUUUGCAAUUGGAUACUAUGAGAAGAGACCUUCCCUCCUGCACUGGAUUUCAUCCUACCUGGAGGCCAUUCCUCAUGGGACUUCGGCCAUCUCAUAUCCACCUUUAAGCCUGUUAUUCCCAUUUCAGCUGUGGUAGCUCUGGG